Long non-coding RNA from Dioscorea cayenensis subsp. rotundata (Guinea yam), 1944 nucleotides. RefSeq lists it as uncharacterized. The transcript has 3 exons. The record is from RefSeq and is a predicted model, not a curated record. NCBI's taxonomy places the organism in Eukaryota, Viridiplantae, Streptophyta, Magnoliopsida, Dioscoreales, Dioscoreaceae.
UUAUGUUUCCUACCUUGCGCGUUUGUUCCAUAUUUCAACAACUCUUAGUUUAUUUGAGCAUCCUCUCUUGUUCAUUUGAGCUUGAAGAGCAUCCUUUCAUUACUGUGGUAUAAGAGCCACCGGUUUUUAUUCCCAAGGUUUUGAGGCCUUGUAAGCCCGCCGGGUCCAGGCCCUAUGGGACUACGGCCGUUUGUCUGCUGGUUGGGUUCGGCUUAGUCGGGUUUGAGGCGUGAUAGUCUAAAAGGUCAAAUCUAAAAAGUUUGAAAGGGAUAAAAAAAAAACCUUGUUUUGGGGUGAUCAUUCAGGGUUUUUCUUUUCAAUUUUUAGUGAAAAUUAAGGGGGUUUCUCAAGGUUACUCAAAAGAACAAGUUUGGUUUAUAGAGAUUUGAAAUUAGGUAAAAUAAAUAGUCUAUUGUUACUUAUAACCCAAUCAAUCAGUUAAACUCUUUUUAAAAAUUUUUUAUUGAUAUUUCUGAUCAUUGGUACAUUUGCAAUAGAUUAGUAUUGCACAAGCUUAGCAUCCUUGGGCUUUUAACAAGCUAUGUUUAACAAACAAUUAUGUCAAUGAUCUUCUUGUUUUAUUAAAUUUUUACGAAACCAAAAGCUAUUCUCAAGAGGUUAAUUUUGAUUUUACCAAACUUUAGUUAUGCUAUUAAAUAUAAUGUCAGGUUUGGUGUUAUAACCAGUCUGGUACUGUAGCUAUAGCUAGCUCGUUACUGUAGAUUUUCCUUUGGAGAAGAUGGGGAACUUUGGAUGAUCUUCCUCCUUGUUGCCAAGCUAGCUCCUAGAUCCAUCAUUCAUUCUUCUUCCUUGGGUAUUAGAAGUAAGCACUCGUAAGCCUUGUUUUUUUCCUUGUUUUUCUUGGAUGGAAAUGAUGGAUUAGGGUUGUAUUUGUUGGCUUGAAAACUUGUAGUUGGAUCUCCUUCUUGUUAAAUUGCCUUGGAAGCCUGAUCGGAGGUUGUAAUACUUGUUUUCCUAAAAUUAUUGUAAACUUAGAACCAGAAUUUGCAAGGAAACUGCAACCACUGUAGAUCAAUUACUGUAACAGUCAUGUGGCUUCGGUAAACCUUUGUUUAUUCUUUGAAUUCUUUGGUUUAGAAUGAAGCUCAAGGCCUUAGGAAUUCAUUAGUAACCUGAAAAGCAAGUUUUGAGUUAACCCUAGCAUUGUUUAAGGGAUGCACAUUAGUGUGACAGAGGAUUUCAUUUCUUUUGAUUGGUAUGCUUUGUUUAAUUCUGGUUAUUGCUUGUGUGUGUGUGCUUUGGCUAGGAGAUGAGUGCUCGACUCAAGGUUGGGUGCCAACGGAGGAUUAGAGCUUCUGGGAAUUUUAAAUCGUCUAAGUUAUAUCUGAAGGUUGUCCUGGUUAUGGAUUCUUUGAUGAGGUAUGCCUGUAUUGCAUUGUUUUGGUUGGUGACAUUCUACUGUAAUUGGUGGUUUCUAUGGUCAGCUUGUUGAGGUGGCAUGGAAGACCGGCAGACUUAUUGGUUCGAUUCAGGUGGGAGUGUAGAGCCCUGACUAGUUAUUCAUCGGGAAGCCGGGGUCACCAUAUGAUGAACUGAUGGGUCAAUGUUAACGGCAUGGGUACCUUGACGGCUCUGAACCUAGCCACGACCAUGACGAAGGUUUAGAAAGAUUUCUAAACCACUUUGUGAUGUCAUCUUAAAUUUGCGGUGAGGGGACAAAGCACAACUGUCACUCUUAGGAGAGCAGGCUCCCACAAAUUUGAUUUAGCGAAGAGUAUUAUGUGUUCCGUAUCUUUUAUAGUGUCAUCUUAAAUUUGUAGUGAGGGGGCAAGCCCAGUUGUUACUCUUAGGAGAGCAGUCUCCCCCAAAUUUGAUUUGAAACUCGUAUUAUAUAUGUUGUUAUAUAUAUACUGAAAUGACAUGAUCUAUAUGUAUUAUUGUAAAAACUAGGCUUGAUGUUCAACUUAUUUUAUUGUUUAAAAC